AGAAACAGUUUGGUGUCAGAGUAGAACCGAGUCUUGAAGGGUAACUGGAUACAACUGAAAUGCCUUUUCUACUCCAGGGAACAGAAGGAUCGCUUCCAGUGAGAAGUUAUUGGGAGUCUUAGAAGAAGCACAACUCACGUGCAACCUGGUCACAUGAUUGCUUUCUGGAAGCCAGGUACUUUACCAGCAAAUCAGAUCCUA
Carcharodon carcharias (great white shark) is the source of this 201-nucleotide long non-coding RNA. RefSeq lists it as uncharacterized. NCBI's taxonomy places the organism in Eukaryota, Metazoa, Chordata, Chondrichthyes, Lamniformes, Lamnidae. The transcript is spliced from 3 exons. The record is from RefSeq and is a predicted model, not a curated record.